RNAcentral lists this long non-coding RNA (733 nucleotides) under Homo sapiens (human). RNAcentral describes it as "HSALNT0405171". The record is from RNAcentral. Lineage: Eukaryota; Metazoa; Chordata; Mammalia; Primates; Hominidae.
UGCUGGGCCGCAGCCCUGUCUGGGAGGUGGGGAGCGUCUCUGCCCGGCUGCUCCGUCUGAGAAGUGAGGAAACCCUCUGCCUGGCAACCGCCCCGUCUGAGAAGUGAGGAGCCCCUCCGUCCGGCAACCACCCCGUCUGGGAAGUGAGGAGCGUCUCCGCCCAGCAGCCACCCCGUCCGGGAGGGAGGUGGGGGGGGUCAGCCCCCCGCCCGGCCAGCCGCCCCGUCCUGGAGGUGAGGGGCUCCUCUGCCCGGCCGCCCCUACUGGGAAGUGAGGAGCCCCUCUGCCCGGCCAGACGCCCCGUCCAGGAGGGAGGUGGGGGGGUCAGCCCCCCGCCCGGCCAGCCGCCCAGUCCGGGAGGGAGGUGGGGGGUCAGCCCCCCGCCCGGCCAGCCGCCCCGUCUGGGAGGGAGGUGGGGGGAUCAGCCCCCCGCCUGGCCAGCCGCCCCAUCCGGGAGGUGAGGGGCGCCUCUGCCCGGCCGCCCCUACUGGGAAGUGAGGAGCCCCUCUGCCCGGCCAGCCGCCCCGCCCGGGAGGGAGGUGGGGGGGUCAUCCCCCCACCUGGCCAGCCGCCCCAUCCGGGAGGGAGGUGGGGGGGACAGCCCCCCGCCCAGCCAGCCGCCCUAUCCAGGAGGUGAGGGGCGCCUCUGCCCGGCCGUCCCUACUGGGAAGUGAGGAGCCCCUCUGCCUGGCCAGCCGCCCCGUCCGGGAGGGUGGUGGGGGGGUCAGCCCCC